RNAcentral lists this ribosomal RNA (503 nucleotides) under uncultured bacterium. RNAcentral describes it as "bacterial SSU rRNA". It matches the Rfam family "Bacterial small subunit ribosomal RNA", at positions 837 to 1343 of the family's 1533-position model. The record is from RNAcentral.
CAGUAAGCGGCUAAGCGAAAGCGUUAAGUGAUCCACCUGGGGAGUACGAUCGCAAGGUUGAAACUCAAAGGAAUUGACGGGGGCCCGCACAAGCGGAGGAACAUGUGGUUUAAUUCGAUGAUACGCGAGGAACCUUACCUGGGCUUAAAUGGGGAGUGACAGCUGCUGAAAGGUGGUUUUCUUCGGACACUCUCCAAGGUGCUGCAUGGUUGUCGUCAGCUCGUGCCGUGAGGUGUCGGGUUAAGUCCCAUAACGAGCGCAACCCUUACUGUUAGUUGCCAGCGCGUCAAGGCGGGGACUCUAGCGGGACUGCCACCGUAAGGUGAGAGGAAGGUGGGGAUGACGUCAAAUCAGCACGGCCCUUAUGUCCAGGGCUACACACGUGUUACAAUGGCCGGUACAAAGGGCAGCUACACCGCGAGGUGAUGCUAAUCUCUAAAGCCGGUCCCAGUUCGGAUCGAAGUCUGCAACCCGACUUCGUGAAGUUGGAUUCGCUAGUAAUC